GGGAGAGCUCAGAAAUUAAGGUUUGUUCGGUUUAUGGGUGUGUUAUGGGUGUAGACGUUGAAGGUUCACAGUUAACGGUAUGUGGGUCGUCGUACGGUAGUCGCUGAUGCAGAGGAAAGAAAAUCCUUUCCUCAAUUGCAGUCCACUUCCACUAGGUCUAGCUAGGUGAGCGAUUUCCAAAUUUAUGAUGAUGGGGCGAUGGCCAUUGGUUGUGAUUACGGUGAAUCGUUGAUGGUUGGAGGAAGCUGAAAUUUUUGUAGGGACUAGAGAUGGCUUUUUUUAG
Molecule: unclassified non-coding RNA, 283 nt
Filed under: Hevea brasiliensis (rubber tree)
Lineage: Eukaryota; Viridiplantae; Streptophyta; Magnoliopsida; Malpighiales; Euphorbiaceae
Source: RNAcentral